RNAcentral lists this ribosomal RNA (1498 nucleotides) under human gut metagenome. Its description in RNAcentral is "bacterial LSU rRNA". It matches the Rfam family "Bacterial large subunit ribosomal RNA", at positions 1035 to 2524 of the family's 2925-position model. The record is from RNAcentral.
CUAGCUUCGUCGGCAGCGUCAGAUGUGUAUAAGAGACAGGGCCCAGACAGCCAGGAUGUUGGCUUAGAAGCAGCCAUCAUUUAAAGAAAGCGUAAUAGCUCACUGGUCGAGUCGGCCUGCGCGGAAGAUGUAACGGGGCUAAACCAUGCACCGAAGCUGCGGCAGCGACACUAUGUGUUGUUGGGUAGGGGAGCGUUCUGUAAGCCUGUGAAGGUGGCCUGUGAGGGUUGCUGGAGGUAUCAGAAGUGCGAAUGCUGACAUAAGUAACGAUAAAGCGGGUGAAAAGCCCGCUCGCCGGAAGACCAAGGGUUCCUGUCCAACGUUAAUCGGGGCAGGGUGAGUCGACCCCUAAGGCGAGGCCGAAAGGCGUAGUCGAUGGGAAACAGGUUAAUAUUCCUGUACUUGGUGUUACUGCGAAGGGGGGACGGAGAAGGCUAUGUUGGCCGGGCGACGGUUGUCCCGGUUUAAGCGUGUAGGCUGGUUUUCCAGGCAAAUCCGGAAAACCAAGGCUGAGGCGUGAUGACGAGGCACUACGGUGCUGAAGCGACAAAUGCCCUGCUUCCAGGAAAAGCCUCUAAGCAUCAGGUAACAUCAAAUCGUACCCCAAACCGACACAGGUGGUCAGGUAGAGAAUACCAAGGCGCUUGAGAGAACUCGGGUGAAGGAACUAGGCAAAAUGGUGCCGUAACUUCGGGAGAAGGCACGCUGAUAUGUAGGUGAAGCGACUUGCUCGUGGAGCUGAAAUCAGUCGAAGAUACCAGCUGGCUGCAACUGUUUAUUAAAAACACAGCACUGUGCAAACACGAAAGUGGACGUAUACGGUGUGACGCCUGCCCGGUGCCGGAAGGUUAAUUGAUGGGGUUAGCGGCAACGCGAAGCUCUUGAUCGAAGCCCCGGUAAACGGCGGCCGUAACUAUAACGGUCCUAAGGUAGCGAAAUUCCUUGUCGGGUAAGUUCCGACCUGCACGAAUGGCGUAAUGAUGGCCAGGCUGUCUCCACCCGAGACUCAGUGAAAUUGAACUCGCUGUGAAGAUGCAGUGUACCCGCGGCAAGACGGAAAGACCCCGUGAACCUUUACUAUAGCUUGACACUGAACAUUGAGCCUUGAUGUGUAGGAUAGGUGGGAGGCUUUGAAGUGUGGACGCCAGUCUGCAUGGAGCCGACCUUGAAAUACCACCCUUUAAUGUUUGAUGUUCUAACGUUGGCCCGUAAUCCGGGUUGCGGACAGUGUCUGGUGGGUAGUUUGACUGGGGCGGUCUCCUCCUAAAGAGUAACGGAGGAGCACGAAGGUUGGCUAAUCCUGGUCGGACAUCAGGAGGUUAGUGCAAUGGCAUAAGCCAGCUUGACUGCGAGCGUGACGGCGCGAGCAGGUGCGAAAGCAGGUCAUAGUGAUCCGGUGGUUCUGAAUGGAAGGGCCAUCGCUCAACGGAUAAAAGGUACUCCGGGGAUAACAGGCUGAUACCGCCCAAGAGUUCAUAUCGACGGCGGUGUUUGGCAC